UGCUCCCUUUGGCAGUAGGAUACUAAAACUGGAAUGAUACAGAGUUUAGGAUGGCUUCUGCAGAAAGGUGACAUGACAGUUUAUGAAACAUUACAUACUUUC
Acomys russatus (golden spiny mouse) is the source of this 102-nucleotide small nuclear RNA. The record is from RefSeq and is a predicted model, not a curated record. Lineage: Eukaryota; Metazoa; Chordata; Mammalia; Rodentia; Muridae.